Molecule: small nucleolar RNA, 88 nt
Filed under: Cephalotus follicularis
Lineage: Eukaryota; Viridiplantae; Streptophyta; Magnoliopsida; Oxalidales; Cephalotaceae
Description: Small nucleolar RNA SNORD34
Rfam family: Small nucleolar RNA SNORD34
About the family: snoRNA U34 is found in intron 5 of the ribosomal protein L13a gene in humans. U34 is a member of the C/D class of snoRNA which contain C (UGAUGA) and D (CUGA) box motifs, and functions in directing site-specific 2'-O-methylation of 25S rRNAs. Although the selection of the target nucleotide requires the antisense element and the conserved box D or D' of the snoRNA, the methyltransferase activity is thought to reside in one of the protein components.
Source: Rfam by way of RNAcentral
AGAGGCCUAUGAUGAUUGUAAAAUUUGCCUACAUUGUCUGAUAUUUCUUGUUUAUGAAUGGAAUUUAUGUAACAGUUCUGAGGCCUCU